GCUAUCAUUUAUUAAAAAGCACACAAUUUUCUAAAUAUUUCACAUGAUUUCUCGUUCCAAAUCUACUGUUAAUCAGUGGGGUGGGAUUCAAAAUAAUCUGUUUCCUGUUUUUGCUGGGAUGAUUUAUAGUCCCUGGUCAUGUGAGUUGCAGGGAAUAUGCAAACUGGAAUUUGAGGCAAGGAUGGUAUAAUACAUUUCAGGAUACACCUUGACAGAGGCAUUAAUUCACUGCAGGUUCACUCCACAUGGAAUCUCUGUACUUUUAUGACAUGUACAGUUGGUUGUAAUGCCAUACUGGGUAUCAUGUAUAACAUCAAAGAGCUAAUCAGGUGACAGUGGUGAAUGAUGCACAGAAUUCCAGAAAAAGAACGGAAGAGUGGGUAUCCAAAGGGCCCUUGAAUUCAGUGUGAGUAUACAGAACUUGACUCUAGUCCCAAUUUUCAAUAAUUUCAUUAGAAAAUAAUUGUAUAAAUCUCCUGGUGAACUUUUCUUGAUACAGGUCUUGUCCAUUCCUGAAGAUACCAUCAAGAUGCUGAAAAUCUGUGGCACAGCUGAACCUUUUGUGUCUGUAAGAAAAUUCUGUAUUCAGACUGGAUGAAGGGCCCAGACCAAGAACUCUUCUGUUGAGGAAUUUUUCCAGAUGGCUUUUCCAGCAACUGUUUCCCAUGGCAAUUCCAGGCUGAUUCCUUGCAUUCUUCGGAGCAGCUUCUCACAGCCUCAUAAUGUCCCUGCUGCUUUGAGAUGUGUCACUGGAGGAGUCACCCUUCCCCUUUGCUCCAAUCCCAGCCCCCUCAUGUGUGUGACAUCUCUCUCGGAUUCUCCUUCUGCUAAAUCUUUCUGGUGCCAGACUCCAUGAUCCUGGUGGGUCCUUUCCAAUUUGGGAUAAUCCAUGACUCCACCAUUUGCUCUGCUCAGCCCUGUGAAACAAAAAUGUCCAAGCCACAACGAUGAAGGGAGGGAAUGAGCAGGUUUGUAGAGUUUCAUGGAGAUUUGUGGCCCCAAAAAAUGGCAUCCCAGAUCAGGGAAGGUAAAAUUGGGUUUAAUCACACCCAUUUAAUAAGAACCUUCAAAGCAUAAAUUUGCUG
This 1085-nucleotide long non-coding RNA is filed under the name Junco hyemalis (dark-eyed junco). Its description in RNAcentral is "lncRNA (ENSJHYG00000003292.1)". Lineage: Eukaryota; Metazoa; Chordata; Aves; Passeriformes; Passerellidae. The record is from RNAcentral.